CCUACGGGUGGCAGCAGUGAGGAAUAUUGGUCAAUGGACGAGAGUCUGAUCCAGCCAAGUAGCGUGAAGGAUGACUGCCCUAUGGGUUGUAAACUUCUUUUAUCUGGGAAUAAAACAGGGUAUGCAUACCCUCUUGUAUGUACCAUAUGAAUAAGGAUAGGCGAACUCCGGGCCAGCAGCCGCGGCACUACGGAGGAUCCGAGCGUUAUCCGGAUUUAUUGGGUUUAAAGGGAGCGUAGGUGGAUUGUUAAGUCAGUUGUGAAAGUUUGCGGCUCAACCGUAAAAUUGCAGUUGAAACUGGCAGUCUUGAGUACAGUAGAGGUGGGCGGAAUUCGAGGUGUAGCGGUGAAAUGCUUAGAGAUGACGAAGAACUCCGAUUGCGAAGGCAGCUCACUGGACUGCAACUGACGCUGAUGCGCGAAAGUGUGGGGAUCAAACAGGAUUAGAUACCCGAGUAGUC
This 460-nucleotide ribosomal RNA is filed under the name uncultured bacterium. Its description in RNAcentral is "partial 16S ribosomal RNA". It matches the Rfam family "Bacterial small subunit ribosomal RNA", at positions 338 to 795 of the family's 1533-position model. The record is from RNAcentral.